RNAcentral lists this ribosomal RNA (433 nucleotides) under uncultured bacterium. Its description in RNAcentral is "partial 16S ribosomal RNA". It matches the Rfam family "Bacterial small subunit ribosomal RNA", at positions 29 to 507 of the family's 1533-position model. The record is from RNAcentral.
AACGAACGCUGGCGGCAUGCCUAACACAUGCAAGUCGAACGAGGCCUUCGGGUCUAGUGGCGCACGGGUGCGUAACGCGUGGGAACCUGCCCUUAGGUUCGGAAUAACUCCCCGAAAGGGGUGCUAAUACCGGAUAAUGUCUUCGGACCAAAGAUUUAUCGCCUUUGGAUGGGCCCGCGUUGGAUUAGCUAGUUGGUAGGGUAAAAGCCUACCAAGGCGACGAUCCAUAGCUGGUCUGAGGGGAUGAUCAGCCACACUGGGACUGAGACACGGCCCAGACUCCUACGGGAGGCAGCAGUGGGGAAUAUUGGACAAUGGGCGAAAGCCUGAUCCAGCAAUGCCGCGUGAGUGAUGAAGGCCUUAGGGUUGUAAAGCUCUUUUACCCGGGAUGAUAAUGACAGUACCGGGAGAAUAAGCUCCGGCUAACUCCGUG